GAAACCUACGGGACGCAGCAGUGAGGAAUAUUGGUCAAUGGGCGGAAGCCUGAACCAGCCAAGUCGCGUGAGGGAAGAAGGCCCUGCGGGUCGCAGACCUCUUUGGACGGGGAGCAAGGCCGCCGACGUGUCGGCGGAAGGAGAGUACCCGUAGAACAAGCAUCGGCUAACUCCGUGCCAGCAGCCGCGGUAAUACGGAGGAUGCGAGCGUUAUCCGGAUUUAUUGGGUUUAAAGGGUGCGCAGGCGGCACGGCAAGCCGGCGGUCAAAUCGCGGGGCUCAACCCCGAAACUGCCUCUAAUACUG
RNAcentral lists this ribosomal RNA (305 nucleotides) under uncultured bacterium. RNAcentral describes it as "bacterial SSU rRNA". It matches the Rfam family "Bacterial small subunit ribosomal RNA", at positions 334 to 635 of the family's 1533-position model. The record is from RNAcentral.